This 1952-nucleotide long non-coding RNA is filed under the name Mytilus galloprovincialis (Mediterranean mussel). The record is from RNAcentral. Lineage: Eukaryota; Metazoa; Mollusca; Bivalvia; Mytilida; Mytilidae.
GAAAACAUAAAAGCAUGAAAAAUAAAUUUGACAAUGAUUUCUCCAUCUUUUAAAUUUGUAAAAUAAAAUGCCAUUCUGUAUAUAAUGAUAAUUAAACAUAUGUUUCAAAUUUAAAUGAACUUUUGGCUAAUUGAUUGACAGUAGUUAGACAAUUUUAUACAAAACUGUCUUCCAGUAGAUGAUGAUGUUGAUGCUAUUAUAAAAUAAAAGUUUGUUUAGGGGACUAUAUAUGGAUUACAUGUAUGCAGCUUUGAGUAACACUGAUUUUCAAUAUUAAGGUGGUACCUAACACUUUAACUAAAAUUAAUUUGGCUCGUUUAAUUUUCUUAAAAUUUUGACAAAGUAUUUACUUUGACCCUUUGACAAAAUAUAUAAAAAUUUCAAAAAAUUUGAACCAACCGUUUAAUCAGAAAAAAUACACUGGUUAUAUAGCAGUUUGACAAACACUUAUUUUGAUCAUUGAGAAGCUUAAUAUUCCCUUAUGAACACAACGUCAUUAAAACGUUCUGCUGAUUUUACAGAGUUAUCUCCCUGUAGUGUUAGGUACCACCUUAAGUAAUAAUCAGCAAAUAUUUAAGUCCUUCAAAAUAACAUAAGAAGACAACAAUCUACAUUUUAUAAGAUAGUCAAAUACUAUGAAAAGCUUGAGUUCACAACUUUAACACAUAAACACUUAAGGACAACCUGGUUUAAAUUGUAAUUUUUUAUCAGAAUCUCAAAACAUAUCAUUUCUUUGUCCUACUACAUUUGUUGAAGUUGAAAACUGAUGAAAUAAACCAGUUUCCUUACAUUGAUUGAUGAUUGCUUAACGUUGCACCAGAAGUUCUGAUCCAGAACAAAAAGAUUAUAUCACAACAAAAUUCUUUAAGAAUACAAAAAUCUGCAUGACAACAUAUAGAAAUCUUGGACUUCAAUAAAAAAUUGUUCAUAAAUCAAUCCACUAUAAACCUAGACAAGACAUGACAGCUUCGUAAUUGAUUAAAACAUUUCAAAGUUUUAAAUCUCUUGAAAGAUUUUUCUAUAUAGUAGGGGGAAAAAAUGAAAUUGUUAAAAAAAAAAUGUCAAUUUGAUUUUGACUUGAUGUUUUCCAAAGACAACUGUAUGUAAAUAUGGUUUUCUAAUAAUAUCUAUGCUACGGCAAAUAAUUACAAGGUUUUGGAGAUUGAGCAAUAGGCAAAAUUUAUGAAGUUGACCAUCUAAAACAUAAGUGUAAAACAUACUAGUACAAAUCAAAUCAAUUAAAGCUUAAUUUUGGCAAGAUUUUUUUCUUUACAAAUUUUUUCUACUUUUAAAGACCACCAUAAAAUAAGAAUUCUGGAUUCACAUUAAUUCAACUUAUUUUGAGACUCAUAAAGGCAGACGUUGUUUUUAUCAUUAUAAUUUUAAAUUAUUUUUGGAAGAUUUUUGAAAGAAAGAAAUUUAUCUUUUUUUUUAUAGAUAAAAUGAUAAAAAUAAUCAUUUAUACUAUGAAUUUAAGGUCAUGUGGGUCAUGCCAAUGUUACAGCAACCCAAUAUCACAAAAAAAUUGUACCAGAAAAACUAUUCAUAUCAAGUCAUGAACAUAGCAGUAUAACUUACGAUAUAUUUGUGAUAAGAACCCCACUUGGGACUGGCACAUAAACAUAAUUUAAUGAUUAUGCAUUAUGGUAAAAGAAACUAGGGUUUUGAUCAGUCUCGUCUAGAAAGACUGGGCAUAACUAAAAGUUACACUAGUACUGCCAACUAUGUCAAACAUUUGGAAAAUAGACUUAUCAUACAUAGUGAAGUUGUGUUAGUUUGAUCAAAUACCAGUAGGUUGGUCAAUAUGUGUCUUUAGGUGACAUUUUUUGAAUAUAUAUUGAGAUUCAAUUAUAAUUACUUUGGUUAUUUUUAUGUUGAUUUGUUUUUCUUUUUCUUUUUUUAAGUCAAACAAUACUUAUUUUAUAUUACACAUUAUGCUUUCCACAAGCUUG